UACGGAGGGGGCAAGCGUUAUCCGGAUUUACUGGGUUUAAAGGGUGCGUAGGUGGGUAAGUAAGUCAGUGGUGAAAUCUUCGAGCUUAACUCGGAAACUGCCAUUGAUACUAUUUAUCUUGAAUACUUUGGAGGUAAGCGGAAUAUGUCAUGUAGCGGUGAAAUGCUUAGAUAUGACAUAGAACACCAAUUGCGAAGGCAGCUUACUACACAGUUAUUGACACUGAGGCACGAAAGCGUGGGGAUCAAACAGG
RNAcentral lists this ribosomal RNA (253 nucleotides) under uncultured bacterium. RNAcentral's name for it is "partial 16S ribosomal RNA". It matches the Rfam family "Bacterial small subunit ribosomal RNA", at positions 524 to 776 of the family's 1533-position model. The record is from RNAcentral.